GAUGAACGCUGGCGGCGUGCCUAACACAUGCAAGUCGAGCGGCAGCGAGGGGUGCUUGCACCCUGUCGGCGAGCGGCGGACGGCUGAGUAACGCGUGGGAACGUGCCCCAAAGUGAGGAAUAACUGCCCGAAAGGGUAGCUAAUACCGCAUAUUAUCUUCGGAUCAAAGGAUUUAUCCGCUUUGGGAGCGGCUCGCGUCGGAUUAGGUAGUUGGUGAGGUAAUGGCUCACCAAGCCGACGAUCCGUAGCUGGUCUGAGAGGAUGACCAGCCAGACUGGAACUGAGACACGGUCCAGACUCCUACGGGAGGCAGCAGUGAGGAAUCUUCCACAAUGGGCGAAAGCCUGAUGGAGCAACGCCGCGUGCAGGACGAAGGCCUUCGGGUUGUAAACUGCUUUUAUAAGUGAGGAAUAUGACGGUAACCUAUGAAUAAGGAUCGGCUAACUACGUG
RNAcentral lists this ribosomal RNA (451 nucleotides) under uncultured bacterium. RNAcentral's name for it is "partial 16S ribosomal RNA". It matches the Rfam family "Bacterial small subunit ribosomal RNA", at positions 28 to 507 of the family's 1533-position model. The record is from RNAcentral.